CAGCCGCCGCGGUAAUACGGAGGGAGCUAGCGUUGUUCGGAAUCACUGGGCGUAAAGCGCACGUAGGCGGCUACUCAAGUCAGGGGUGAAAGCCCGGGGCUCAACCCCGGAACUGCCUUUGAAACUAGAUAGCUUGAAUCUUGGAGAGGCGAGUGGAAUUCCGAGUGUAGAGGUGAAAUUCGUAGAUAUUCGGAAGAACACCAGUGGCGAAGGCGACUCGCUGGACAAGUAUUGACGCUGAGGUGCGAAAGCGUGGGGAGCAAACAGGAUUAGAUACCCGUGUAGUCCCUGUCUCUUAUAA
This 301-nucleotide ribosomal RNA is filed under the name uncultured bacterium. Its description in RNAcentral is "partial 16S ribosomal RNA". It matches the Rfam family "Bacterial small subunit ribosomal RNA", at positions 509 to 809 of the family's 1533-position model. The record is from RNAcentral.